UACGUAGGGGGCGAGCGUUGUCCGGAUUUAUUGGGCGUAAAGAGCUCGUAGGUGGUUUGUCGCGUUGUCCGUGAAAACUCACAACUCAAUUGUGGGCGUGCGGGCGAUACGGGCAGACUGGAGUACUGCAGGGGAGACUGGAAUUCCUGGUGUAGCGGUGGAAUGCGCAGAUAUCAGGAGGAACACCGGUGGCGAAGGCGGGUCUCUGGGCAGUAACUGACGCUGAGGAGCGAAAGCGUGGGGAGCGAACAGG
RNAcentral lists this ribosomal RNA (253 nucleotides) under uncultured bacterium. RNAcentral describes it as "partial 16S ribosomal RNA". It matches the Rfam family "Bacterial small subunit ribosomal RNA", at positions 524 to 776 of the family's 1533-position model. The record is from RNAcentral.